CAGGGUAGUGAGAACAAGAAUCUUACUUAUCCUCUUUGCGAAGAGUGUGGUAGGAAUCACCUAGGCACAUGUACAGUAGGCACUAAGGUAUGUUUUAGAUGUCGUAAGACAGGCCAUAGGCUGCGAGAAUGUAAAGUAAGGGUUCAAAGGGGAAAAGAUUUGUGACAGUAGGGAGUCACUUCCUGUACCACUAGUAGUUAGCGUCAAAAUAGAUUUUAUGCACUUCAGACUCACCAUGAUCAGGAAAAUCCCCUAGCAUAGUUCAGGUACAUUAUGAGUCUUUCAUCUUCAUGAUUUUCUUUGUUAGACCCUUUUCU
This 317-nucleotide long non-coding RNA is filed under the name Capsicum annuum. Its description in RNAcentral is "long non-coding RNA (CANN_LNC022072)". Lineage: Eukaryota; Viridiplantae; Streptophyta; Magnoliopsida; Solanales; Solanaceae. The record is from RNAcentral.